Molecule: long non-coding RNA, 556 nt
Organism: Helianthus annuus (common sunflower)
Lineage: Eukaryota; Viridiplantae; Streptophyta; Magnoliopsida; Asterales; Asteraceae
Exons: 4
Source: RefSeq, a predicted model, not a curated record
UAACUAAUAAGCCCAAUAACUUAGCCCACUUCAAACAUUAAAACAAACCCAUUAAACAACCACAACCCAAUCGCUGCCACCACUCCCGCUCUCCCUCCUCCUGCCAGCGACGACGACAACCUGCGACCACCCCUGCAAAAUUCCGGCCGCACCCAGCUUCACACCGACAAUAAACAGGACUAGGAGGAACCGUGAUUAGGGAAGUUAUGACGCGAUUUCUCAAGAGAAAAGGGGUUGAACCACUUUUUUCGUCGGAUUCUUCUAACUGAAGACUAAGGAACGAAAGAAGAAGGAGCUAGUUCCGGAUCACAAACCAAGGCUCAAGAUCGAGGUAAAGCACCCGUAUGAUUGUCAUUGCGUCGCUCGGAUACGAACACACCUUGAUCACCCGUGAUGCGUUUCCGCAACUUUUGUAGUAACCUUAUUAGUUAAAGGCUUUUGUUAAAGUUAGUAGUGUUGAAGUUUUAAGUUUUAACUAGAUAUUUGUGAAUAUUUAAGUAUCUUAAACUUGAUGUUUUUGAAUCGGUAGUUUAAAUGUCAAGAUCUUCCUUAUGUU